RNAcentral lists this transfer RNA (86 nucleotides) under Chitinophaga pinensis DSM 2588. RNAcentral describes it as "tRNA-Leu". It matches the Rfam family "tRNA". From Rfam's summary of the family: Transfer RNA (tRNA) molecules are approximately 80 nucleotides in length. Their secondary structure includes four short double-helical elements and three loops (D, anti-codon, and T loops). The record is from RNAcentral. Lineage: Bacteria; Pseudomonadati; Bacteroidota; Chitinophagia; Chitinophagales; Chitinophagaceae.
GCCCAGAUGGCGGAACUGGUAGACGCGCUGCACUUAGAAUGCAGUUCCCCUGUGGUGUGCAGGUUCGAUUCCUGUUCUGGGCACAA